This is a long non-coding RNA of Trachymyrmex cornetzi, 1780 nucleotides long. RefSeq lists it as uncharacterized. The transcript has 3 exons. NCBI's taxonomy places the organism in Eukaryota, Metazoa, Arthropoda, Insecta, Hymenoptera, Formicidae. The record is from RefSeq and is a predicted model, not a curated record.
CUUGUCAUUUCAUAUCAUUUUAUAACUUUUUUGGUUAUUUCGGUGCUAACGUGACUCGAAACUUAACGAUUAAAGCUUGUCAAAAUUUUUUGUGAACCAUGGCUGAUUUCUCCAGAACUUCAGCCGCUGUGGCAAAUACUAAUAUAAAUAGAACUGCAAGUGAAAUUAAUACUAGUAAACGGAAUUAUUGGAGGCAAAUGCUGAAAAGCUACGAGAAGAGGAACGCUUCAUUGGAGAGAAAGCGUAACGUACUCGUCGAAAGAGUCUGUUUUAUGGAAUGUACAUUGCCAUCCUUGAUGAUGGGCAUCGCUUCAUCUACCGCCUACGGUAAAGGAGUCCCCGAACAGGCGAAAAUCCCCGAAAACACAUCCAAGUCCUCUAAUCAAAGGAUAUAGCUGCAAAUCAUAACAAGAAUUAGCAAUUUAAUAAUAAGAAAGAAAGACGGAGAACAGAUGGGCAGUUUUAUUCAUUUCUUGUAAAUACACACGUGACGAAUAAAAUCAAUUCUAUAUAUGAAAUGAAUCUGUAAGCAAACAGCACCAUAGUGGUCAAACAGGCUUGAUCGAAUAAUUUUUGCUCCGAAAAUCUAUACAGCAUAAAUAUGGUAAGUGUUUGGAUAUACACACUUCUUGCGAAAAAUACUAAAUCUAUCAAAUCACUCAAGAUCGAUAUACAUGAUGCUAAGGCACGUUCGUUGUGUUAUACGAUCGAACAAAAAGUAGGACUAGAAACACAUUGUUUACACAUUAAUACACAUAUCAAUUACAUUAAAUGUUGAAGCAUACGUACGCACAUACAUAUAUAUAUAUUUUUCCAAUAUAAAGACACACGCAAGCCUAGCUUAGUUUCGAUAAGAUUCAUGAAAUGAUAUUCUACAGUGAAGGUAGCAAUUAUCUCAAUUUAAUUCAGUAUAUAAUUCUAUUAUAUACUUUAUCGCGUAAAAUUGGCGUGCAAAAGUUUAAAAUGAAAAGCUAAAAGAAAAAGAUCGGAGUGAAGUGAAUCGUUGAGGAAUUUAUAUAUUCCUUAUGAUACAUAUAUAUUACUUUCCUACAAUUACUCUUUCUAACGACUCCUCACACAGUGUAUAUAAUGAUGGAAAUUAUAAUAGAAUCUCCAAUAGUCGUCGAUAUAGACAUUAUAGAAUCUCAACAGCAUUACACAGACAUGCCUUUGUGGAUAGUUGAAUGCAUGGUAUCACGAAUCGCGCAAUAAUUUGCGACACACAUGCGAUGUGUGACAUCAAAUUAGCUUACGCACGCACAAUUGCCUUUUUGUCAUAUCAAAUUUAAAUUUAUGUCGAAACAUGGAUUUAAAUUUCGAUAGAGACAUACUAAAGAUUCAAAGAUACCUUUGAUAUGUCGCUUGGUACAAAAACGCAUCUGUUUAAUGCAGUCAUCUUCAAUCUGAUUUUUUCUGGGCGUCAUUCUUUAUCUCUUAAAAAUGCAUCAAUCGCGAAUAUUUCAAAUCAUACGUGAAAUUAUUUUGUAAUAAUUAUUGCACGUUGUAAUAAUUAUUACAAAGCAUCGUUAUAAUUAUUUUAUAAUAACGCUUUAUACAAUUUACGCUCGCGUGUGAGGGAGAUAUAUAUAAUCUACGGCUUAUUUGGCACUUGAUUUCACAGCUUGUACGAAAAGAUUGGUCGUGACGUGGGGAAGGUGAAGUACGCCAAACCGAGGGUUCAGGUUGGCACUUGAUCCGCAGGCGCCCUCGUUUUAUUUCUAGGACGUACCAUUUCUGAUCGUCACUUGGGCACACCAAGCAGCGCCAGCCGUAUUGUCCU